GCCUGCGUGAAGUCGGAAUCGCUAGUAAUCGCGGAUCAGCAUGCCGCGGUGAAUACGUUCCCGGGCCUUGUACACACCGCCCGUCACACCAUGAGAGUCGGGAACACCCGAAGUCCGUAGCCUAACCGAAAGGGGGCGCGGCCGAAGGUGGGUUCGAUAAUUGGGGUGAAGUCGUAACAAGGUACC
RNAcentral lists this ribosomal RNA (186 nucleotides) under uncultured bacterium. RNAcentral describes it as "partial 16S ribosomal RNA". It matches the Rfam family "Bacterial small subunit ribosomal RNA", at positions 1314 to 1500 of the family's 1533-position model. The record is from RNAcentral.